GGAUGAACGUUGGCGGCGUGCCUAAUACAUGCAAGUCGAACGAAGACUGUAGCAAUACUGGCUCAGUGGCGAACGGGUGAGUAACGCGUUGGUGAUCUGCCUUGAAGUGUGGAAUAACGUUUCGAAAGGAACGCUAAUACCGCAUGUGCUCUCGAUUUUCAGAAAGUUGAGAGUAAAGGAUUUAUUCGCUUCAAGAGGAGCCUGCGUCCCAUCAGCUGGUUGGUAGGGUAACGGCCUACCAAGGCUAUGACGGGUAGGGGACCUGAGAGGGUGGCCCCCCACAAUGGAACUGAAACACGGUCCAUACACCUACGGGUGGCAGCAGUAGGGAAUAUUAGAAAUGGACGAAAGUCUGAUCUAGCAACACCGCGUGUGCGAUGAAGGCCUUCGGGUCGUAAAGCACUUUUUGGAAGGAAUAGGAAGGAAUGUACUUCCAGAAUAAGUCUCGGCUAACUACGUGCCAGCAGCCGCGGUAACACGUAGGAGGCAAACGUUAUCCGGAUUUACUGGGCGUAAAGCGCGUGUAGGUGGUACUGUAAGUAGGGCGUGAAAGCUCCUGGCUCAACUGGGAGAGGCCGUUCUAAACUACAGAACUAGAGGAUGGUAGAGGGAGGUGGAAUUCCAGGUGUAGCGGUGGAAUGCGCAGAUAUCUGGAGGAACACCGGUGGCGAAGGCGGCCUCCUGGACCAUUCCUGACGCUCAGACGCGAAAGCUAGGGUAGCAAACGGGAUUAGAGACCCCGGUAGUCCUAGCUGUAAACGAUGUGAACUUGGCGUUGGUGGGUUUAAAUCCAUCAGUGCCGAAGCUAACGCGAUAAGUUCACCGCCUGGGGACUACGGCCGCAAGGUUAAAACUCAAAGGAAUUGACGGGGCCCCGCACAAGCAGCGGAGCGUGUGGUCUAAUUCGAUGCUACACGAAGAACCUUACCAGGGUUUGACAUGCAAGUGGUAGGAAACUGAAAAGUGACCGACCCUUCGGGGAGCUUGCACAGGUGCUGCAUGGCUGUCGUCAGCUCGUGUCGUGAGAUGUUCGGUUAAGUCCGCUAACGAGCGCAACCCUCGCUGUGUGUUAUAUGUGUCACACGGGACUGCCGGUCUUAAGCCGGAGGAAGGUGGGGAUGAUGUCAAGUCAGCAUGGCCUUUAUAUCCUGGGCCACACACACGCUACAAUGGCCAGCACAAUAGGUUGCCAAACCGCGAGGUGGAGCCAAUCCAUAAAGCUGGUCUCAGUUCAGAUUGCAGGCUGAAACCCGCCUGCAUGAAGAUGGAGUUGCUAGUAACCGCAGGUCAGCUAUACUGCGGUGAAUACGUUCCCGGGGCU
This 1321-nucleotide ribosomal RNA is filed under the name uncultured bacterium. RNAcentral describes it as "bacterial SSU rRNA". It matches the Rfam family "Bacterial small subunit ribosomal RNA", at positions 27 to 1381 of the family's 1533-position model. The record is from RNAcentral.